GACGAACGCUGGCGGCGUGCUUAACACAUGCAAGUCGAACGGAAAGGCCCUGCUUUUGUGGGGUGCUCGAGUGGCGAACGGGUGAGUAACACGUGAGUAACCUGCCCUUGACUUUGGGAUAACUUCAGGAAACUGGGGCUAAUACCGGAUAGGAGCUCCUGCUGCAUGGUGGGGGUUGGAAAGUUUCGGCGGUUGGGGAUGGACUCGCGGCUUAUCAGCUUGUUGGUGGGGUAGUGGCUUACCAAGGCUUUGACGGGUAGCCGGCCUGAGAGGGUGACCGGCCACAUUGGGACUGAGAUACGGCCCAGACUCCUACGGGAGGCAGCAGUGGGGAAUAUUGCACAAUGGGCGGAAGCCUGAUGCAGCAACGCCGCGUGCGGGAUGACGGCCUUCGGGUUGGAAACCGCUUUCGCCUGUGACGAAGCGUGAGUGACGGUAAUGGGAAAGAAGCACCGGCUAACUACGUG
Molecule: ribosomal RNA, 467 nt
Filed under: uncultured bacterium
Lineage: Bacteria
Description: partial 16S ribosomal RNA
Rfam family: Bacterial small subunit ribosomal RNA
Source: RNAcentral